UACGGAGGGUGCAAGCGUUAUCCGGAUUUAUUGGGUUUAAAGGGUGCGUAGGCGGAUUAUUAAGUCAGUGGUGAAAGCCUGCAGCUUAACUGCAGAACUGCCAUUGAUACUGAUGAUCUUGAGUAUGAUUGAGGUGGGCGGAAUGUGUCAUGUAGCGGUGAAAUGCUUAGAUAUGACACAGAACACCGAUUGCGAAGGCAGCUCACUAAGCCAUAACUGACGCUGAUGCACGAAAGCGUGGGGAGCAAACAGG
RNAcentral lists this ribosomal RNA (253 nucleotides) under uncultured bacterium. RNAcentral describes it as "partial 16S ribosomal RNA". It matches the Rfam family "Bacterial small subunit ribosomal RNA", at positions 524 to 776 of the family's 1533-position model. The record is from RNAcentral.